RNAcentral lists this ribosomal RNA (402 nucleotides) under uncultured Debaryomyces. RNAcentral describes it as "SSU rRNA". It matches the Rfam family "Eukaryotic small subunit ribosomal RNA", at positions 554 to 962 of the family's 1831-position model. Lineage: Eukaryota; Fungi; Ascomycota; Saccharomycetes; Saccharomycetales; Saccharomycetaceae. The record is from RNAcentral.
UGCAAGUCUGGUGCCAGCAGCCGCGGUAAUUCCAGCUCCAAUAGCGUAUAUUAAAGUUGUUGCAGUUAAAAAGCUCGUAGUUGAACCUUGGGCUUGGUUGGCCGGUCCGCCUUUUUGGCGAGUACUGGACCCAACCGAGCCUUUCCUUCUGGCUAACCUUUCGCCCUUGUGGUGUUUGGCGAACCAGGACUUUUACUUUGAAAAAAUUAGAGUGUUCAAAGCAGGCCUUUGCUCGAAUAUAUUAGCAUGGAAUAAUAGAAUAGGACGUUAUGGUUCUAUUUUGUUGGUUUUUAGGACCAUCGUAAUGAUUAAUAGGGACGGUCGGGGGCAUCAGUAUUCAAUUGUCAGAGGUGAAAUUCUUGGAUUUAUUGAAGGCUAACUACUGCGAAAGCAUUUGCCAAA